GCAGCCCCUCCUCUCUCCACAAGCUCCUGCAUUCUUUAUCAGUUCUUCCCACAUUUGGUCAUGUGACCAUGAAGGAGCAUGUGACCAGUGACGUCACAGACCUCCUUCUAACAGCUCCACUCUAGCAUCUACCCUGCUGUGGAGUCUGGAGCCUCUUCUCUCUGGUAUCAGCCAUUAGCAGAGCCCUGUGCCUGAUGAGAGCACUCAGUGUGUGGCCCCGGUAGAAGUGGCUGCAGUGGAGCCGAUGAUCAUGAUGGUGGCAAAUAAAACAAACCACAAACCUGAAGAUAGACUACGUAAGCUGGCACGCAGGAGCAGAGCAGUGGGGAUCAGGUGCCUGCAGUACUAGAAGCCUCCAGCUCCUCCAGUUCUCCCCUCUUCUCCUGAAUGACAACCAAGGAUGGACAGGAAGGAGAUCAGCAGAAGAAUAUUAGACCUCACCUUGGAGAUCAUCUACCUGUUGAGCGGAGAGGAUUACACCAUUGUGAAGAAGACAUCGGGGGGGACUCCCAUCAUCCAUGGGUCAGGAG
This is a long non-coding RNA of Bufo gargarizans (Asiatic toad), 530 nucleotides long. RefSeq lists it as uncharacterized. NCBI's taxonomy places the organism in Eukaryota, Metazoa, Chordata, Amphibia, Anura, Bufonidae. The record is from RefSeq and is a predicted model, not a curated record. The transcript is spliced from 4 exons.